GGUCUGGUGGUGUACCGGUAACACGCCUGCUUUACAUGCAAUCCAAGUCACUCGGUUUUGUAGGGAUUCCUUGUUCGACUCAAGGUCAGGCCA
Non-coding RNA from Mycena latifolia, 93 nucleotides. The record is from the annotation of a GenBank genome assembly. NCBI's taxonomy places the organism in Eukaryota, Fungi, Basidiomycota, Agaricomycetes, Agaricales, Mycenaceae.